RNAcentral lists this ribosomal RNA (542 nucleotides) under uncultured bacterium. RNAcentral describes it as "partial 16S ribosomal RNA". It matches the Rfam family "Bacterial small subunit ribosomal RNA", at positions 355 to 888 of the family's 1533-position model. The record is from RNAcentral.
UGGGGAAUUUUGGACAAUGGGCGAAAGCCUGAUCCAGCAAUGCCGCGUGUGUGAAGAAGGCCUUCGGGUUGUAAAGCACUUUUGUCCGGAAAGAAAUCCUCUGGGUUAAUACCUCGGGGGGAGUGACGGUACCGGGAAGAAUAAGCACCGGCUAACUACGUGCCAGCAGCCGCGGUAAUACGUAGGGUGCAAGCGUUAAUCGGAAUUACUGGGCGUAAAGCGUGCGCAGGCGGUUUUGUAAGACGGAUGUGAAAUCCCCGGGCUUAACCUGGGAACUGCAUUCGUGACUGCAAGGCUAGAGUAUGGCAGAGGGGGGUAGAAUUCCACGUGUAGCAGUGAAAUGCGUAGAGAUGUGGAGGAAUACCGAUGGCGAAGGCAGCCCCCUGGGCCAAUACUGACGCUCAUGCACGAAAGCGUGGGGAGCAAACAGGAUUAGAUACCCUGGUAGUCCACGCCCUAAACGAUGUCAACUAGUUGUUGGGGAUUCAUUUCCUUAGUAACGUAGCUAACGCGUGAAGUUGACCGCCUGGGGAGUACGGUCG